Molecule: ribosomal RNA, 254 nt
Filed under: uncultured bacterium
Lineage: Bacteria
Description: partial 16S ribosomal RNA
Rfam family: Bacterial small subunit ribosomal RNA
Source: RNAcentral
UACGGGGGGAGCAAGCGUUGUUCGGAUUUACUGGGCGUAAAGGGCGCGUAGGCGGUCAGCACAAGUCAGUUGUGAAAUCUCCGGGCUUAACUCGGAAAGGUCAACUGAUACUGUGCGACUAGAGUGCAGAAGGGGCAACUGGAAUUCUCGGUGUAGCGGUGAAAUGCGUAGAUAUCGAGAGGAACACCGGUGGCGAAGGCGGCGACCUGGGUCGAGACUGACGCUGAGGCGCGAAAGCGUGGGGAGCAAACAGG